CUUUAUUAAAGCUACUAUUUUACAGUUUUACUUUUUACACAAUUUAAAUUAUAACACCCUCAAUCUGCAUGUUCAGUACUUAAUACUUUUAAUACAUUUAUUUUUUUAUACAAAAAUGCAGCUACUACAAAAUAUGUUAAAUGUGGAUAAAGACACUCAUACACAGUAUACAGACACAUUUGCGCCUGUAUAUAUGUCAAGUAAAAGUAAACACAGAGCCUGUGUUGAUGAGAAGUAGGAAGCUGAAACCUAGAAAAACCUCUCUUAUAAUCUCAAGGCAGGAUAAAUAUGAUUACAUUAGAUAAUUGUUACUUUUACUACUGAGAAUGAUCUGGGUACAUCCUCUACUUGUGCCUCUGGCUGAAAAGAUGAAAUAAAUAUGGCCUUUAAGGGUGAAUUAAGGGGCUUUGGUUGCAGGAAAGCUGCUGUUGCUGAAAGGUGUGAGAAUCAUAAACCUUUAUGUACUGAUUGUUCAUGAGUCUCAGUGACAGAUCCAAGAGGAUUAUCAGAGAGAUUAACUAAAUGCAUUAGCAUACAUACUGUAUAUAACAGCCUCUACUGUUAUAUGUGAUCGGAUCAAGAUUCCAUCUAUUCCUCAAACGGGUCAAAGUCUCCCCUCGCUCUCUCCCCCACUGGGCUGUUUGCUGUGCUUACAUCAGGGGGGAGACUGUUGGGAGAAAGGUCUGCAGCAGGAAGUGAGGAGAUACACCUGGAGGCAACAUAAAGGCUGAGUGUGGGAGAUAAACUGAGAGGCUUGAAGAAGAGGUACAGACGGAAAACUUGAGAAGAACUAGAGACAUCUAGAGGAUGAAGUGUGUUUCUGUUGUUGUGUUUGUGAGUCUUCUCUCACUGGGACACGCUGCUCCUCUAAACAGCUGUGAAAGUCUGCUGAAACCAAUAACUAUCAGCAAUGAAGACAUGUUGGGGAGGUGGCUGUACAUCGGGGGGAGCUCUGACCUCCCAGGAAGUCGCUCCCUAGGCCAUCUGAUGAGCAGUGUCUGGUUGGACAUCACUGCAACCCCCCAGAGCAACGUCCUCAAUCUCAUCCAGACUCAGAGAAUACACGAUAAAUGUUCCAGCUUAAUAUACAAUGUGACCUUUGAAAACAGCACUAUGUUGAUUGAGCAACCUUUUUACCUCAAGGAAGUCUACUUGGCAACUAAUGGCUCUGACUGUCUGGUUGCCUAUGAGGAAAUUAUCUCUGGUGAAAACACUUUCACCAGUCUUCUGCUCUUCAGCAGGAGAGAGAGUGUCUCACCUUCUGUUGUGGAGUUGCUCAAGAGACAAGCAGAGUGUCUCCGGAUGCCAUCGCCCAUAAUGAUGGACUCAAACAAUGAAAUCUGCCCAGACAACAUCUCGCCCUCCGAGGGGCUCAGUGCCCUCAACUCCUUGUUAGAGGCCAAGAUGGGACACCAAGUGGCAAGACUCCUGGAUGCUCUUUUUGAUAUGUUUGUCAACUGAUUUAUAAUGAGUUUGGAUCUGUGUCAUUUUGUAUGUGCAAGCAGUUUUUCCUCUGUAUCCCCAUCAGUACUUCAGAAAAUUAAGAUUAAAGAAUUGCCUAUUUUUCUUUUUAUUAUAAUUAAUGCUAGUAGUAGUGCCAUUGUUAUUGUUAUAGGCUGUGUCCUCUAUAAGAUCUUUUCAAAAGCAAGAUGUUUUCUUAUUAACACAAAGCGAAAAUACUGCGACAUAUUAAAAGUCAUACAAUGAGUCAUAACUUCAGUGUCAUUUUCUGUAAACUCGUGUCAGUGUUUACAAUCUGGUGGACAGUUGAGAGAAGAAUGGAAGACGUGAUUCCAUGGCAACCGAACUCUCUGCCAUCAACGUGAACAUUUGAGGUUUUUACUGGAAGCGAUUCCUAAACUAUGAAGACAAUGUUGGAUAAAACACAUAUUGCACAAAUUCAAUGAUGAGUCAAAUCAUAGUUGGGACAAAGAAUUUAUUAAACCAAAGCCCACAUAAAAAAUAGGCUACAACACUGUAAAUAAUUUAGUAAACAGUCCACAAAGGUAAAAAUAAGUAGCUAACAUAGCAUCAACAGUUAUCUAAACAGUAUAUCAAUGAUGGAUAUCUUACUCAGAAUAUGUUAGCUUCAGACUGCUAGUAUAGUGGAUAACUUGGUUAGCAAAAAACAAAAUUAUACUAAAUCAACAAUCACAAAACAGGUAUAAGAAAAAAAAGAAGAAAUAGAAACCAAAGAUAUGAAGGUAUAAUGUGACUAUUGUGACAUACACAUCCAACAGAUAUAGAGCAAUGUUCGUGUUCAUUUGGAGUCAAAGAUCUGGCAAAUUUAAGUCCAAAUUUCACUCUCCUUGUAGCUCUUUUUGGUCUCCACCACUCCUGAGGUGGAUGAAAACGCAGUGGAGCACUGAGCUAUACUAUACACUGGUAACUAUACUAUAUUAACUGUAUAAUACCAUUCACAUCUUCUAAGCUUCUGUUGAGUUACAUACUGUAUAAUAUCAUUACAGAAGACACAUGGUGGAUGCCUGUUCAUACCAUAAUGAAUUAUCAGCUUUUAAUUUAAAGUAAAAACUAAUUGGAAAAUGGUGAGAGUUUGGUUGCUUGUACUCUGAUUUGCUCGUUAUUUUUUGGUUUUACUGCUCUAAUUCCCCAGUUUUUGUAAUUUUUCCAAAGUUUGGAGGCCUAAUUUAGUUUAGAAUAAAAAAAACAUCACCUUUCAACCAGUUUAAAACACAUAUGUUAACAACACAGGACUCCUUGUGGGAUGAGCCUCUGAACUUCAGUGGGAUGAGCCUCUGAACUUCAGUGGGAUGAGCCUCUGAACUUCAGUGCAGCGCUUUAAGCUUGAAGCAGACACAAUCAACUUCCAACUACGAACAGGACAGUACGCUAAAACAACAGAUCUAGGUUCUUUGU
This is a long non-coding RNA of Dicentrarchus labrax (European seabass), 2877 nucleotides long. Lineage: Eukaryota; Metazoa; Chordata; Actinopteri; Moronidae. The record is from Ensembl.